GUACAAGGGCAAAGCUGUCGAAAGGCAGCGACGCAAAGCCAUGGGUCUACAGCGGAUUACCGCCAUGACUGCCAGGCUGCCGA
This 83-nucleotide non-coding RNA is filed under the name marine eukaryotic metagenome. Its description in RNAcentral is "Cyclic di-GMP-I riboswitch". It matches the Rfam family "c-di-GMP-I riboswitch aptamer". From Rfam's summary of the family: GEMM was predicted in a large-scale screen for bacterial structured RNA regulatory elements. Genes associated with GEMM are involved in a diverse array of functions, including chemotaxis regulation, signal transduction, secretion and chitin. The record is from RNAcentral.